GACGAACGCUGGCGGCGUGCUUAACACAUGCAAGUCGAACGGAAAGACCCUGCUUUUGUGGUGUGCUCGAGUGGCGAACGGGUGAGUAACACGUGAGUAACCUGCCCUUGACUUUGGGAUAACUUCAGGAAACUGGGGCUAAUACCGGAUAGGAGCUCCUGCUGCAUGGUGGGGGUUGGAAAGUUUCGGCGGUUGGGGAUGGACUCGCGGCUUAUCAGCUUGUUGGUGGGGUAGUGGCUUACCAAGGCUUUGACGGGUAGCCGGCCUGAGAGGGUGACCGGCCACAUUGGGACUGAGAUACGGCCCAGACUCCUACGGGAGGCAGCAGUGGGGAAUAUUGCACAAUGGGCGGAAGCCUGAUGCAGCAACGCCGCGUGCGGGAUGACGGCCUUCGGGUUGUAAACCGCUUUCGCCUGUGACGAAGCGUGAGUGACGGUAAUGGGUAAAGAAGCACCGGCUAACUACGUG
This 468-nucleotide ribosomal RNA is filed under the name uncultured bacterium. Its description in RNAcentral is "partial 16S ribosomal RNA". It matches the Rfam family "Bacterial small subunit ribosomal RNA", at positions 28 to 507 of the family's 1533-position model. The record is from RNAcentral.